CCAGUUUGCGUUCCCACCAACAGUGCAAAAGACAUCCUCUCUCUCCGCACCCUCGCCAACAUCUGUUGCUGCCUGAGUUGUUCAUCCCCCUCCCCCGUGGCCUGCUCUGUGGGAUUCAAGGCCCGGCAUCGGACGCAAAUAAACAACCUUCCAGAGACUGCUUAAUCAGCCCCACAUUGUGAAGGUUAAAACCCGGAGACCCAGAAAAGCUACCUGACGUCCCCUCUGCCAUCAGCGUGGUUGGUGUAGGACCUCGUGUAACUUAUUGGGACCACCGUGACCACAUCCACAAAUGGUGUCUGUGCUUGCAUUUCCAGCCACUGUCCUUUGGGCAAGGAUGACUGUGGCUUCGUGUCUACACCCCGUGUACCUGUGAAGGCACUUCGGAAAGGCUGUAAUACCACUCGGGACAAAUGGAAGCUGUCAGAGCCGCAAGGAAAGGAGUGUGGCCAGCACCUGCCUUAUAACUCGGGAGAAGGGGGGAUGAGAAUCCCCGCGGUUUGUGGGCUCGCGGGAUGUGGGGCCGCGCACCACCUCAUUUCUCCCGCCUGGAAUAAUCCACAGGCACUAAAAGCGAGAUACACGCGUGCACUUGGAGAGCUGGUGCAUUUUUGUCCCGCUGAUUUGCGCUUUCUCAUUUUUCACCAUAUACACCAAACAAAUACUACAGACAUUUGAAA
Molecule: long non-coding RNA, 680 nt
Organism: Panthera uncia (snow leopard)
Lineage: Eukaryota; Metazoa; Chordata; Mammalia; Carnivora; Felidae
Exons: 4
Source: RefSeq, a predicted model, not a curated record